CAUGAAUUCAUUGUCCAACACGAGAAUAACAAAGGAGGGGUUGACCAAGAGAUUCUUUUUCCUUCAGUCAACAAAGUUGCCACUACUCCUGAUUCUACAAUAGUUUCCCCAACAGAGGAAAGUGAGCUCCCUGCUCUUAAUUACACAAAACCUUGUCUGAAAGAUGAAAGCGCCCCCCUGCAGCUGCAGCUCACCAACACCUCUGCCUAUUACACCUACCUCGUGUUCCUUCUCGUGAGCGCAGUCUACCUUGCCACCGUCGCCUUGUGUCUGUUAAGGAGAACAGCAGUCUGGGGCAAUGGAAAGAGUUCGUAACAGAUGGUGACCCAAGAAAGCAACUUUCCUCCAUUGUUUAUACUCCCUAAAACUGUCUGCCGAGGAUCUAGACGGACUUUCUCUCUGAGUUUGGGUUAUUUCAGCUCACAUGCGUACUUUUCUGUUAUGUCAUUAUUGUGUAAUGGUUUUUCAAAUCACUGGACAAACAGAAAAUCCUACUCUGUAACGAUGCUGUAUACUGCCAUUACUCAGGGGCAGGGCCAAGCGGUAGUCCUUUAGCACCACUCUCUCCAUGAUCCCCAUCAGCUCCUCCAACAACCCGAAUAACCAUGCCUUCUAAGUACAGACAACAUGCGGCUCUAGUCACGUCGCUUAGGACCUUUUAACCAGAACCGCCUUGAAGCCUUCCAUUUUACACACCCUAAUCCAACAUCAUUG
RNAcentral lists this long non-coding RNA (714 nucleotides) under Equus asinus (donkey). RNAcentral's name for it is "lncRNA (ENSEASG00005025979.1)". The record is from RNAcentral. Lineage: Eukaryota; Metazoa; Chordata; Mammalia; Perissodactyla; Equidae.